AGUGACCUGAAGAGAACACAUUUUUCUUCAGUGGAUGAAGUGAAGACAGAAACGGCAAGCCUGUUAAAGAGCCUCAAGCAAGAAGACUUCCAGCACUGUUUCAGUCAAUGGAAGAUACAUAUGGAGUGGUGUAGAGAUCGGGAGGGGGAGUAUAUAACAACAACAUUUAUUUAUAUAGCACAUUUUCAUACAAAAAGUAGCUCAAAGUGCUUUACAUAAUGAAGAAAAGAAAAAUAAAAGACAAAAUAAGAAAUUAAAAUAAGACAACAUUAGUUAACAUAGAAAAGGAGUAAGGUCCGAUGGCCAGGGUGGACAGAAAAAACAAAAAAAAAACUCCAGACGGCUGGAGAAAAAAAUAAA
Erpetoichthys calabaricus (reedfish) is the source of this 360-nucleotide long non-coding RNA. RefSeq lists it as uncharacterized. The record is from RefSeq and is a predicted model, not a curated record. The transcript is spliced from 2 exons. Lineage: Eukaryota; Metazoa; Chordata; Cladistia; Polypteriformes; Polypteridae.